Long non-coding RNA from Pezoporus flaviventris, 778 nucleotides. RefSeq lists it as uncharacterized. NCBI's taxonomy places the organism in Eukaryota, Metazoa, Chordata, Aves, Psittaciformes, Psittacidae. The transcript has 2 exons. The record is from RefSeq and is a predicted model, not a curated record.
AAAAACAUCCUCAAUAUCUGAAAAAGUCCCAUCAUAAUCCUUCCCUCAUCACUCAUGCUUCUAAUGGUCCAAGCAGCUUCAUGGGUUCCUACAUACUGAGGGCAGCAGGGAACCACUGUUAACAUCCAGAACACAAGCCACAGACUCCCCUGAUUUCAUUCCCAUCUGAUCUGGAGCAGCUCUUUCAGGCACAACAAUAUGCAGGCACCCUUGAAAAAUUACCUGAGACGGAGAAUCAAACACAGGCCAUGCAAAAUCAGUUCGUUUCUCACUACCUUAAUGAGGGAAAAUAAAUAACGAUAAUAAAAAGGCAGGAUUCUAAUCGGAAUGGGGCACCUAAACCCAAUUACUUCCUAACCCACACUAAUAGCGUUCGACAGGUCUUGCUGUGCCCAGGGAAGCAGCAUCACGUCACACAUGGGGACGCAAACCCACUGAGAUCACAGAAUUCCUCCGGGGUGUACAUGGUGAUAAUGGCAGCGGCAGAGGAAGGAGCAUCUGCUGCUUAUCUGUAUAAUUUUCCCUAUAUUUAGGUUUUAGGGGGAGGAGGAGGGAGAGGACUUGAAACAUACGCAAUUUUCUACUUCUUUUCUGUAGCUUUUUGAUCCUUUCGCUUCUGGGUUUGGCAACUGCAACUUUCUUCAUCCUUGGAGAUUAUUCUUCCAUUCCUCAAAGAGACUUCAAUUUCCUCACAAAUCUCUUUUCCUUUCACUUAAUUUAAACAUUUAUGGCCAAUUUCAUGAUUUAAUAAUGAGAAAUAAAAUUGGAGAUUUACUAA